GCUCGCGUAGCUCAGUAGGUAGAGCGCAUCCUUGGUAAGGAUGAGGUCACCGGUUCGAAUCCGGUCGUGAGCU
Molecule: transfer RNA, 73 nt
Filed under: bacterium
Lineage: Bacteria
Description: tRNA-Thr
Rfam family: tRNA
About the family: Transfer RNA (tRNA) molecules are approximately 80 nucleotides in length. Their secondary structure includes four short double-helical elements and three loops (D, anti-codon, and T loops). Further hydrogen bonds mediate the characteristic L-shaped molecular structure. tRNAs have two regions of fundamental functional importance: the anti-codon, which is responsible for specific mRNA codon recognition, and the 3' end, to which the tRNAs corresponding amino acid is attached (by aminoacyl-tRNA synthetases). tRNAs cope with the degeneracy of the genetic code in two manners: having more than one tRNA (with a specific anti-codon) for a particular amino acid; and 'wobble' base-pairing, i.e. permitting non-standard base-pairing at the 3rd anti-codon position.
Source: RNAcentral